CUCAGUCUCAUCUGGGGUUUGUGGAGGGCUUCCACAUAGAAGCUUACAGUUCAGCCAAAGAGACAGAUUAUAAGCAGAUAAUUUCAACACAAGGUGAUGGACUCUGAAGUGGAUUCCGCGGUGUAUCAUCCAGAUGCCAUCUUUAGGAUGGAAGCACUGGUUUCCCCUCAGCUUUGGGGAGUGUUGGCUGCUGACGGCUCAAAGCUGAGUCUCUCUGGGCACUGCCCUCCCUCAAGGUUGUGACUCCUCCCUGAGAGCAGCUUGCAUCCAAAGACUGAUUUGUGAGGCACGUCAAGGGCUGGCCUACUGCCUUGAUUCAAGACAUCUGAAGGGCCAUCCCAGCUUCAGAGCUACCCACGAGAUCAAGUGAGGAGUCUGAGGAACUGGAGAAGGUCUGGCGCUUGCAGAUCUGUUCUAUGAAGAAAAGGGUUGAGUUUAUUUUUUAAUUCUGGAUAUACAGGGAAGAAAUGGAGAGAAGUAAAAGGAGGAAAUAUGAAGUGAAAUCAAAAGACUGUUCCAACUAGGAAAGGCCAGGCACCUUGCCCGUGACCCUUCUAGGACCCUGCAGAUCUCCCUCAAGUGAUGAGAUGCAGUCUUUCCUAAUUAUCAAAGCUGUCUGUGUUCAGAAACAGACUGUAGCUUCUAGGCAGAGUGCUUCGUCCCAGCAUCACUCAUCUGCUGUUUGUUGAACUGAAAUGAACAUCUUGUCCAAUUUUAACUCUCGAGUUUUUGGCAAUUGGCUGAAUUGGAAAGUCGAAGAUGCAUUUAGAGGAGAGGAUAUUGCCGAGCACUGCAGCUGCAAGAAUCUCUUUUUAAAACCUAAAGUCUGUUACAUAAAUUAUGCACUCUUUAAAUUCUCUUCUACGUUCAUUUACACAGUUGAUCAUCAAAACUGCUUUAGAAAUACGUGCAUCAAAUAUUCAGCAUAUUUUUAAAGCUUCCUUAAUACCAUGCCUAGUAAGUGGAUGCAAUUAUGUAUUUAUUUACAACAAACACCUAUGACUAGCACAAAACCUAAUUACAGUCUAUCAUUACCUCUGAAUCAUUCCAAUGGAAAUGUUUUCUCUCACUGUAUUCAUAUUGUUUUGGUGCAUGAGUAUAGAAGGCAGCAGAUUGUUUUCUGUGAUCAUAGAUUUUAAAUAUUUACUUGCUUGUGCUGCAUAAUUCAGCACACUGGAGUUGGAAAGCAGUUUGUAUGGUAGCUGAUGCCAUGUCAGUGUUACGGAAUGUAAUUUCCUUCUGUGACUUCUAUGUGAAGUUGUAAAAAUGAACAGUAUUCUAUUCUGUUUUCCUAAUCAAUUAAAAAUUGUUUUUCUGUAAACCCACAGAAAACAAAUGUUUGUGGUAUACACACAAUUUUAUUUUGUAUAAUUACCAUGUAGUGUAAGAAUCCAAGCAUUGUUUCUCAUGGCCUGUUAAGGCACAAUAUAAA
This 1432-nucleotide long non-coding RNA is filed under the name Equus caballus (horse). RNAcentral's name for it is "lncRNA (ENSECAG00000049641.1)". The record is from RNAcentral. Lineage: Eukaryota; Metazoa; Chordata; Mammalia; Perissodactyla; Equidae.